GAUGAACGCUGGCGGCGUGCUUAACACAUGCAAGUCGAACGGAAAGGCCAGUGCUUGCACUGGUACUCGAGUGGCGAACGGGUGAGUAACACGUGGGUGAUCUGCCCUGCACUUCGGGAUAAGCCUGGGAAACUGGGUCUAAUACCGGAUAGGACAAUGGUUUGGAUGCCGUUGUGGAAAGUUUUUUCGGUGUGGGAUGAGCUCGCGGCCUAUCAGCUUGUUGGUGGGGUAAUGGCCUACCAAGGCGUCGACGGGUAGCCGGCCUGAGAGGGUGUACGGCCACAUUGGGACUGAGAUACGGCCCAGACUCCUACGGGAGGCAGCAGUGGGGAAUAUUGCACAAUGGGCGCAAGCCUGAUGCAGCGACGCCGCGUAGGGGAUGACGGCCUUCGGGUUGUAAACUCCUUUCGCUAGGGACGAAGCGUAUUUGUGACGGUACCUGGAGAAGAAGCACCGGCUAACUACGUG
This 468-nucleotide ribosomal RNA is filed under the name uncultured bacterium. RNAcentral's name for it is "partial 16S ribosomal RNA". It matches the Rfam family "Bacterial small subunit ribosomal RNA", at positions 28 to 507 of the family's 1533-position model. The record is from RNAcentral.